CGGGAGGGCGCGUCCCAACUUUCGCGG
This 27-nucleotide ribosomal RNA is filed under the name Taxus chinensis. Its description in RNAcentral is "partial 26S ribosomal RNA". RNAcentral also lists the same sequence under 2 other names. Lineage: Eukaryota; Viridiplantae; Streptophyta; Pinopsida; Cupressales; Taxaceae. The record is from RNAcentral.